GAAAAGGGGUCAGGAUGGAGCCAGGCUAUCACAGCCCUCAGAACAUGGGCGUGUGGUGCCCCUAGCGUCUGAGCCUUCCCACCCGCAGGGUCUGUUUGGCUGAGGAAUCCAGAAAGGGUGGAAAAUGUUCCCCAGCCAAAGCCUCCAUCCAGUGCCAAGGGAACCUGAUCAGUGUUGGGAGCGGGAGUGGGGGAGGCGGGUGCUCCAGCCGGGCCAGGCUUCCUCCCACCUCCUCCUGCUGGGCCAGGCCAGCUUCCCGGCCCCAGACUCCACCCGGCAGGGGACCCCUUCAAGGCUGAGGGUGAGGCCUCUGAAGAGAAGGAAGAAGAGGGCAACUUGGGGGGCAGCUCUGUAUCCAGAGUGGUGACCAGAAAACCACCAUGGCCGGGGUGGGGGUCCUUGUUUUCAUUAGACUAAAAGGGAAACUGAGGCACAGAGUGUUAGGUCAGCCAGGGCAUCCACUGAGUUGCUUGCCCCGAUUGUGCACUCAACUCCCUAAAUCUCCCUUGGAGUUGUGCUCGCCCUCCUUGAACAAGUCCCCAGGCCCCGGCCCCGGCCCCGGGGAGCCUGGGACUUUGGUGCUCUCCAGCUCCCCCGCCACCUGAGUGCCUCAUACCGAGGUCUGUGCCACAGUUGCCUGGGUAUUUAUAGCUCACAGGCACUCGCUUCCUGGUAAGCCAGCAUAUUUGGGGGGAAUAAGGAGUCAAAAGCUUUCAGGGCAAAGUUCAUUAGGCUCAGGCUGAUGGUGCAGGGGUGGGCAGGGGCCCUCGUCCUAGCUCCUGUAUGAGUCCUUUCCCUGCCAGAGCUGGACAGUGGGGAAGGGGGCUCAAGACCCAGGCAGGGUCAGCCUCAGCCUCAGCCUCAGCUGCUGGGGGUUACCACCGCUGCGUUCCUGUCCCUUCCUCGACCUCGCAGUGGAGGGGUGGGGAGGGGCAUCUGAGCCCAGCAGCACACCCCCUGCAUGGCUGAGGGGUCAGGGCUCCUGCCUGAGGCUUCUGUCCUCCUUGUCCUCAACUCCCGUUGGCCCCUAGCUCCUCUCCUGAAUCCCCUGCCUGGAUCUGGCACUUUGGCCCACACUGGGAGGUUGGGAGCAGACCCAGGUGGGGUCUAAACAGAGAUAGAGGAUAAGUGUGAGGACUGGGCAAGGGGCCUCAAACCCAGAGGAGAAUAUGUAAGAGAGGCCUCUCAGGUCCUGGUCCUGGAGCUGCGGUGCCCAGGUAAAAGCAGCAUGUCCAAGGGCACCACCUGCUGGUGAGAGGGGCCCAGGUGUUCUGGUCCGAGGGAAUCAGGGUUUCUGGACAGACAGGGUUGAUCAUAAUAACCACAUCAAUAACGAUAGUGACUGCCACCACUCACAGGGCGCGGACUGCAUGCUUUACAUACAGCGUCUCACAUAAUGCUUGCAACAAUGCCAUAGGGCACCACCCCCAUUUUACAGCUGGAGAAACUGAGGCUCAGAGAGGACUUAGGGCUUGCUCCAGGUCACAGGAGAAUUUGAAGCCGGGUCUGUCUGAGCCCCAGCCCCGGCUCACCUUGCUAUCCUCAGGCUCUGAGAAAGUGUCGGUUUCCUCCUCGGUGGGCAUCUCCAGGUCGGACUCCUCGGAGGCGAUGGGCACCUGUAUGGUCAGGAUGUGAUUGUCCUUCUUCAGGUCCUCCUCGGGCGGCUCCUUCUUCUCAUCCUCGGGGGCAGUCUCCCCCGCCUCUCCAGCC
This 1710-nucleotide long non-coding RNA is filed under the name Homo sapiens (human). Its description in RNAcentral is "HSALNT0243743". Lineage: Eukaryota; Metazoa; Chordata; Mammalia; Primates; Hominidae. The record is from RNAcentral.